CUACGGGGGGCUGCAGUAGGGAAUAUUGGACAAUGGGCGAAAGCCUGAUCCAGCAACACCGCGUGCACGAUGACGGCCUUCGGGUUGUAAAGUGCUUUUAGAGGAGAUGAGAAAGGACAGUAUCCUCUGAAUAAGCCUCGGCGAACUACGUGCCAGCAGCCGCGGUAAAACGUAGGAGGCAAGCGUUAUCCGGAUUUAUUGGGCGUAAAGCGCGUGCAGGCGGUCUAGCAAGUUGGAUGUGAAAGCUCCCAGCUCAACUGGGAGGGGUCGUUCAAUACUGUUAGACUAGAGAAUAGAGAGGGAGGUGGAAUUCCGGGUGUAGUGGUGAAAUGCGUAGAUAUCCGGAGGAACACCAGUGGCGAAAGCGGCCUCCUGGACUAUUUCUGACGCUAAGACGCGAAAGCUAGGGUAGCAAACGGGAUUAGAUACCCCGGUAGUC
Molecule: ribosomal RNA, 439 nt
Filed under: uncultured bacterium
Lineage: Bacteria
Description: partial 16S ribosomal RNA
Rfam family: Bacterial small subunit ribosomal RNA
Source: RNAcentral